This 381-nucleotide ribosomal RNA is filed under the name uncultured bacterium. Its description in RNAcentral is "bacterial SSU rRNA". It matches the Rfam family "Bacterial small subunit ribosomal RNA", at positions 518 to 898 of the family's 1533-position model. The record is from RNAcentral.
CGGUAAUACAGAGGGUGCGAGCGUUAAUCGGAAUUACUGGGCGUAAGGCGCACGUAGGCGGCUUGGUAUGUCGGGUGUGAAAUCCCCGGGCUCAACCUGGGAACUGCAUCCGAAACUGCCUUGCUAGAGUAUGGGAGAGGGAAGCGGAAUUUCCGGUGUAGCGGUGAAAUGCGUAGAUAUCGGAAGGAACAUCAGUGGCGAAGGCGGCUUCCUGGACCAAUACUGACGCUCAGGUGCGAAAGCGUGGGGAGCAAACAGGAUUAGAUACCCUGGUAGUCCACGCCCUAAACGAUGACAACUGGAUGUCGGGAGGGUUUGCCUUCCGGUGUCGUAGCUAACGCGUUAAGUUGUCCGCCUGGGAAGUACGGCCGCAAGGUUGAA